AUUGAACGCUGGCGGAAUGCUUUACACAUGCAAGUCGAACGGUAGAGGGGGCAACCCUUGAGAGUGGCGAACGGGUGAGUAAUAUAUCGGAACGUGCCCAGUCGUGGGGGAUAACGUAGCGAAAGCUACGCUAAUACCGCAUACGAUCUAUGGAUGAAAGCGGGGGAUCGCAAGACCUCGCGCGAUUGGAGCGGCCGAUAUCAGAUUAGGUAGUUGGUGAGGUAAAGGCUCGCCAAGCCGACGAUCUGUAGCUGGUCUGAGAGGACGACCAGCCACACUGGGACUGAGACACGGCCCAGACUCCUACGGGAGGCAGCAGUGGGGAAUUUUGGACAAUGGGCGCAAGCCUGAUCCAGCAAUGCCGCGUGCAGGAUGAAGGCCUUCGGGUUGUAAACUGCUUUUGUACGGAACGAAACGGUGAGCUCUAAUACAGUUUGCUAAUGACGGUACCAUAAGAAUAAGCACCGGCUAACUACGUG
Molecule: ribosomal RNA, 479 nt
Filed under: uncultured bacterium
Lineage: Bacteria
Description: bacterial SSU rRNA
Rfam family: Bacterial small subunit ribosomal RNA
Source: RNAcentral